AACGCGAAGAACCUUACCAGCUCUUGACAUGUCCCGUAUGAGUACCAGAGAUGGAACUCUUCAGUUCGGCUGGCGGGAACACAGGUGCUGCAUGGCUGUCGUCAGCUCGUGUCGUGAGAUGUUGGGUUAAGUCCCGCAACGAGCGCAACCCUCGCCCUUAGUUGCCAUCAUUUAGUUGGGCACUCUAAGGGGACUGCCGGUGAUAAGCCGCGAGGAAGGUGGGGAUGACGUCAAGUCCUCAUGGCCCUUACGGGCUGGGCUACACACGUGCUACAAUGGCGGUGACAGUGGGAUGCAGAGGGGUAACCCCGAGCAAAUCUCAAAAAGCCGUCUCAGUUCGGAUUGUGCUCUGCAACUCGAGCACAUGAAGUUGGAAUCGCUAGUAAUCGCAGAUCAGCACGCUGCGGUGAAUACGUUCCCGGGCCUUGUA
This 430-nucleotide ribosomal RNA is filed under the name uncultured Alphaproteobacteria bacterium. RNAcentral's name for it is "bacterial SSU rRNA". It matches the Rfam family "Bacterial small subunit ribosomal RNA", at positions 958 to 1385 of the family's 1533-position model. The record is from RNAcentral. Lineage: Bacteria; Pseudomonadati; Pseudomonadota; Alphaproteobacteria.